Molecule: transfer RNA, 61 nt
Filed under: Nacolus tuberculatus
Lineage: Eukaryota; Metazoa; Arthropoda; Insecta; Hemiptera; Cicadellidae
Description: tRNA-Glu
Source: RNAcentral
AUUUACUUAGUUUAUAAAAACAUUUUAUUUUCAUUAAAAAGAAGAUUUAACUCAGUAAAUU